This 119-nucleotide ribosomal RNA is filed under the name Medicago citrina. Lineage: Eukaryota; Viridiplantae; Streptophyta; Magnoliopsida; Fabales; Fabaceae. The record is from RNAcentral.
AGGUGCGAUCAUACCAGCACUAAUGCACCGGAUCCCAUCAGAACUCCGCAGUUAAGCGUGCUUGGGCGAGUGUAGUACUGGGAUGGGUGACCUCCUGGGAAGUCCUUGUGUUGCACCUC